GUGAGGAAUAUUGGUCAAUGGGCGAGAGCCUGAACCAGCCAAGUCGCGUGAAGGAAGAAGGAUCUAUGGUUCGUAAACUUCUUUUGCAGGGGAAUAAAGUGCAGGACGUGUCCUGUUUUGUGUGUACCCUGAGAAUAAGGAUCGGCUAACUCCGUGCCAGCAGCCGCGGUAAUACGGAGGAUCCGAGCGUUAUCCGGAUUUAUUGGGUUUAAAGGGUGCGUAGGUGGUUUGAUAAGUCAGCGGUGAAAGUUUGCAGCUUAACUGUAAAAAUGCCGUUGAAACUGUCGGACUUGAGUGUAAAUGAGGUAGGCGGAAUGCGUGGUGUAGCGGUGAAAUGCAUAGAUAUCACGCAGAACUCCGAUUGCGAAGGCAGCUUACUAAGCUACAACUGACACUGAAGCACGAAAGCGUGGGGAUCAAACAGGAUUAGAUACCCCAGUAGUCC
RNAcentral lists this ribosomal RNA (445 nucleotides) under uncultured bacterium. RNAcentral describes it as "partial 16S ribosomal RNA". It matches the Rfam family "Bacterial small subunit ribosomal RNA", at positions 354 to 796 of the family's 1533-position model. The record is from RNAcentral.